GACGAACGCUGGCGGCGUGCUUAAUACAUGCAAGUCGAACGGAAAGGCCCUGCUUUUGUGGGGUGCUCGAGUGGCGAACGGGUGAGUAACACGUGAGUAACCUGCCCUUGACUUUGGGAUAACUUCAGGAAACUGGGGCUAAUACCGGAUAGGAGCUCCUGCUGCAUGGUGGGGGUUGGAAAGUUUCGGCGGUUGGGGAUGGACUCGCGGCUUAUCAGCUUGUUGGUGGGGUAGUGGCUUACCAAGGCUUUGACGGGUAGCCGGCCUGAGAGGGUGACCGGCCGCAUGGGGCGUGCGAGAGGGCCCAGAAUCAUACGGGGGGCAGCGGGGGGAAGUCUGACAGAGGGGGGGAGCGCCAGAGCGCGCGACGCCCGGAGAGGAAUAAGGUGUUAGGGGUGAAAAACCAUUUUCGCCGGAGCCAGGCGGGGGGUGACGGUAAUGGAAAAGAAAGCCCCGGCUAACUACGUG
This 468-nucleotide ribosomal RNA is filed under the name uncultured bacterium. Its description in RNAcentral is "partial 16S ribosomal RNA". It matches the Rfam family "Bacterial small subunit ribosomal RNA", at positions 28 to 507 of the family's 1533-position model. The record is from RNAcentral.